UACGUAGGGGGCGAGCGUUGUCCGGAUUCAUUGGGCGUAAAGAGCUCGUAGGCGGCUCAGUAAGUCGGGUGUGAAACCCUCAGGCUCAACCUGGGGACGCCACUCGAUACUGCUGUGGCUAGAGUCCAGUAGAGGAGUGUGGAAUUCCUGGUGUAGCGGUGAAAUGCGUAGAUAUCAGGAGGAACACCGGUGGCGAAGGCGGCUGCCUGGCCUAAGACUGACGCUGAGGUGCGAAAGCGUGGGGAGCGAACGGG
Molecule: ribosomal RNA, 254 nt
Filed under: uncultured bacterium
Lineage: Bacteria
Description: partial 16S ribosomal RNA
Rfam family: Bacterial small subunit ribosomal RNA
Source: RNAcentral